RNAcentral lists this ribosomal RNA (163 nucleotides) under uncultured bacterium. RNAcentral's name for it is "partial 16S rRNA". It matches the Rfam family "Bacterial small subunit ribosomal RNA", at positions 355 to 511 of the family's 1533-position model. The record is from RNAcentral.
UGGGGAAUAUUGCACAAUGGGCGCAAGCCUGAUGCAGCCAUGCCGCGUGUAUGAAGAAGGCCUUGGGUUGUAAAGUACUUUCAGCGGGGAGGAAGGGAGUAAAGUUAAUACCUUUGCUCAUUGACGUUACCCGCAGAAGAAGCACCGGCUAACUCCGUGCCAC